RNAcentral lists this long non-coding RNA (423 nucleotides) under Salvia miltiorrhiza (redroot sage). Its description in RNAcentral is "long non-coding RNA (SMIL_LNC003717)". Lineage: Eukaryota; Viridiplantae; Streptophyta; Magnoliopsida; Lamiales; Lamiaceae. The record is from RNAcentral.
UAAAUGACAAUAUUAGUGCCAAAAGUACAAACAUAAAGCAAAAAAAAAAAAAAACCAAGUAAAUUGGUACUUUUGGCACAAAUGGUAAUAUUAGUGUCAAAAGUAUCAUUCGAUGAUUAAACCCUAAAUGGAGAAUCUAAACCCUAAAUAAAGAAUGUAAACUUUAAAUGGAGAAUCUAAACCUUGAAUGGGAAAUCUAAACCUUACGAGAAAGUGUUCAAAACGACCAUAUGAAUGCACUCAUCUAAAUAAGAUAAGAUAGUGUAUCAACACAAAUAUAUAACACUAUUGACUAGGGGUGGUAAAUCGGUUUCGGUUAUCCGGUUAUAACCGUAACCGAACCGAAAAAACCGGUUACCGGUUAAUCGAUAACCGAUUUUUUCCGGUUCGGUUCGGUUACCGGUUAUUGCUUUUGAUGUUAAC